UGGGGAGGGGCAGUUCCUCUUUCCUUCCUAAACGCGUUGGACGCUGCAGCUCCCAGGGGGCUGACGGUCUGGCCUUAGAAGGAACGGGAUCCCACUCCUGUCGGGACCCCCGCCCCCUCCAAGAAACAUGAACCGGAAAGACAGCAAAAGGAAGUCUCAUCAGGAAUGCUCUGGGAAGACAGGAGGACGGGGUCGGCCGCGACAGGCCCGCCGCCACAAGACAUGCCCCACGCCCCGGGAAAUCAUCAAGGCUAUGGCGUCCAUGAACCUGGGGGUGCUGAAUGAAGGCAGCUGCCGCGAAGACGAGCUACUGGAGAAAUGUAUCCAGUGCUUCGACUCAACUGGCAGCCUCCGCCGCGGGGACCACAUUCUCAAGAUGCUGCUUACAAUGCACAGCUGGGUGCUGCCAUCCUCAGACUUCGCGGCCCGGCUGCUGACCUCGUACCAGGAAGCUUCCAGAGGUGCACAGGAGCUAAGGCAGCUGCAGAUCUGUUACCUGGUCAGGUACUGGCUGACCCAUUACCCUGAGGCAGUGCGCCAGGAGCCCCACCUAGAGGAAGUCAUCGGUCGGUUUUGGGCCACCGUAGCCCAGGAGGGCAACUUGGCCCAAAGGAGCUUAAGAGAUGCCUCCAACCUACUGAGCCCCAGAGGGCCCGGGCCACCACCUCUCAUGAACAGCCCAGGCCUGGGCAAGAAACGCAAAGUGUCCCUGCUGUUUGAUCACCUGGGGACACAGGAGCUGGCUCAGCACCUCACUUACCUCGAGUUCCGGUGCUUCCAGGCCAUCACGCCCCAAGACCUACGGGGCUAUGUUUUGCAGGGCUCAGUGAGGGGUUGUCCAGCUCUGGAAGGUUCUGUGGGUCUGAGCAACAGUGUGUCCCGCUGGGUACAGGUCAUGGUGCUGAGCCGUCCUGGGCCUGCGCAGCGUGCCCAGGUACUGGACAAAUUCAUUCACGUGGCACAGAGGCUUCGCCAGCUACAGAAUUUCAACACACUGAUGGCAGUCACGGGGGGCCUGUGUCAUAGUUCCAUUGCCAGGCUCAAGGACUCCCACAACCACCUGAGCCCCGACAGCACUAAGACCCUGCUGGAGCUGACGGAACUCCUCGCCUCCCACAACAACUAUGCCUGCUACCGCCGCACCUGGGCCAGCUGCACUGGCUUCCGGCUGCCGGUACUGGGUGUUCACCUCAAGGACCUGGUGUCCCUGUACGAGGCCCAUCCAGACAGGUUGCCAGAUGGCCGGGUGUACCUACCGAAGCUGAACAGCCUCUACCUGCGGCUGGAGGAGCUGGCAGCUCUCCAGGGACAGCAUCCCCCCUGCAGCGCCAAUGAGGACCUGCUGCAUCUGCUGACGCUCUCCCUGGAUCUCUUCUACACCGAAGACGAGAUCUACGAGCUUUCUUAUGCCCGGGAACCACGCUGUGCCAAGAGUCUGCCACCCUCCCCUUACAAAGCACCUCUGGUUGUGGAGUGGGCCCAUGGUGUGGCGCCGAAGCCGGACAGCGCGACCCUGGGUCAGCAUGUAGAACAGCUGGUGGCGUCCGUGUUCAGAAACUAUGACCCAGAAGGACACGGCACCAUCUCUCUGGAAGACUUUGAGCGGCUGUCGGGCAACUUCCCCUUUGCCUGCCAUGGGCUGCACCCCCCUCCCCGGCACGGGAGUGACUCCUUCAGCAGAGAGGAGCUGACAGAAUACCUGCUCCGUGCCAGCGCCAUCUGCUCCAAGCUGGGCCUGGCCUUCCUGCACACCUUCCAUGAGGUCACCUUCCGCAAGCCCACCUUCUGCUACAGCUGCAGCGGCUUCGUGAGCACUUGGCCCUCUCUGGGGUGUCACCAAGCAAGGUUAUCGCUGUCGGGACUGUGGACUGUGUUGUCACAAACACUGCAAGGACCAGGUGAGAGUGGAGUGCAGGAAGAGGCCGGACACCAAGGGGGACCCUGGCGCCCCAGGAGCGCCUGUGCCAGCCGGGCCGCCGCCUCCCGCCAGCUGCGGCUCCGAGGACAAUGUCUCCUAUACGCUAUCCCUGGAUGCUGAGUCGGGUAGCCACCUUCGCCAUGCCUGGACCCAGACGGAGUCCUCACACUCUUCCUGGGAGACGGAGAUGGUGCCUGUCCCAGAACCAGUUUCAGCGUCCAAAGCUUCCUCGGAGCCCAGUGCCUGAAUGGACAGUCCCUUCUCUCGCUCCCCUAACCGCUGUCUCAUCCACACUGCCGCUGACAAAACACCCAUCAUCUACCCUAGAAAAGGUUCUGCGCUGCACUGUCCAGUCAGACUCCUCCCCCCUCACUUAGCAUCUGCAGCUCUGUUGGAACUUGGACUCCAGUCAUGUCAUCUCCCCAACUCCCCACCUCCCAGACACGGAGACUGGAGCUUAGUAAGGUUAAGCUUCAAGCUCAAAGCAUGGGAGGCAAGGCUCACACUGUUUCCGAAAUGAAGUGCUGAACCAGUGGACUACACUGACUGUCAGCAGGAAGCUGGUGGUCUUGAGGACGGAGGGGACAGAGUUCCAACCACUGUCAGGAAAGAGGCUGGUGUGGACAGCGUGUGUGAAAUGUCUUCCUCUGCUGGGGCCUCCUGGCUCAAGGCAAAACCCAGCCUAUGGCUUCCAAAGCUCUGCAAGCUCUGUCCUCAGCAUGGGUCUCCUCUGUCCACAUCACGCCUCCUUAGUCAUACUCUUCCACCUCCACUGGCCUGUGUUCCAGAGCACACCCUGAAAUACUGCCACCUCGGGACUUCUGCACUGGUGGCUCCCUUUAUCUCGAAUGCCCGUGGCCAGAGGUCUACAAGGCUCACCUGCUCUACAGCUCUGUUCAAGUGACAUCCCCUUGGUGAGGCCUCCUGACCGCAGAGAUGUCACACAUAUAUGUUGUGACACUCCCUUCCUGCUUUAUAUUUUUCUGACCAACUGGACAUUUCACCUAUUGUUGAAUGUCUGCUCGUCCUCACCAGGAAGAGCUCCCAGAAGGCAGAGAUGUUUAUCUGUAUCAUCCCCACAAGCGGCCUAGUGCCUGUAAAGGGUCCAAUGCUUCACUGUGUCCCAACACCCACAUGAAAGACAAAAGACUCAUCCGGACCUGGAAGCAGAACUCACUGCCCCUCCACAAAAGCACACACCCUUGAGCUGGUCCCUACAGAAACAGAUCCUGUAACAAUCAAAAGAAUUAAAUUUAUUUUUCACACAA
Mesocricetus auratus (golden hamster) is the source of this 3186-nucleotide RNA transcript. It is a transcript of the gene named RAS guanyl releasing protein 4, with no coding region annotated. Lineage: Eukaryota; Metazoa; Chordata; Mammalia; Rodentia; Cricetidae. The transcript has 17 exons. The record is from RefSeq and is a predicted model, not a curated record.